Molecule: long non-coding RNA, 5730 nt
Filed under: Eucalyptus grandis
Lineage: Eukaryota; Viridiplantae; Streptophyta; Magnoliopsida; Myrtales; Myrtaceae
Description: long non-coding RNA (EGRA_LNC005256)
Source: RNAcentral
ACAGUUUAUUGCCAUCCAUUAUUUCAACCUUUGUGCUUUGGUCUUGCUUGCUAUGCUACUGUUGAUUUUGGAAAAUCUUGAAGAUGAGGUUAUUAAUCAGGUGAUCGUGCUAUAUGGCCUGCUUUAACAUUAAUAUCUGAACUAGCAUUCAAAAAGUUAUCCUACUGGAAAACUGAAGAAAAAAUUUCCUAGUUCUCAGCAAGCUUCUUAAUGGGGCAGUAAAACCCCAAAAACUUAUACCUCAAGCUCAUGCAAGUGUCACGGCCCGAAAGUUAGCAUGUCCAAGAGGUUUCCAUGGCACGGGCGUGACCCGUGAUGACCCUCGACCUAUGUCCCCGAGAUGUACAGUAUUCUCCUAGGGGCGGGUGAUACCGUAUUUGUACGCAUACAUUAUAAAUGCGAGUAGCUGGUAGUUGGCCAUAAAUGCAUAUAGCUGGUAGUUAGCUAUGAAUGCAAGUGGUUGGUAGAUGGGGAGGUGCAAUCUCCACCGUUAGAUCUAAGGGAGAUCUACGGGUAGGGUUUGCUGUAUACUUGUAUAUAAAGGGGUGUCCUCCCUCAUUGUAACUCAUUCACAACAUAUAUGAAAAUCCAGAGCUUCUCUCUCAUCAAGUGUUUAUCUCUCUAGAAGUUCGUUGUGAGUCGAGUGUGAGAAAGGCUGCUUAGGGGUAAAACCUUAAGGCCGCACGGGUGAAUCGAGAGUUGAUCGAGAGUUGAUCGAUCGGCCCGUGACAAGUGGUAUCAGAGCUGAUUUGCGAUCCAAGCGCAAGUGCAAUGGCUGAUCCACGAUCUGAUGAGGCGUUGGUCCUGGGUGAAGACGGCGCUGAUCGUGGGCGGAACGCCAAGAAGGGCGGUGGCCGAGGGAAGAAAGCCCGUGGUGGUUCAAAGGAGCCUAUGGGGGAUCUUGCACAACGGAUGGCGAAGCUAGAGCUGUUCGUCUGCGAUGUCCAAGGAUCGGUCGAUGACCUGACCCAGACCGUGGACGGAGUUGACGCCGGAAGGGAGGAGCUGUUUGCGGAAGUGCAAGAGCUCAAGACCGGCAUGGGAGAACUCCGCCACGAGUUGCUGGGGACCCUACAGGAAGAACUCACCCAAAGGUACGAACCCUUGGAGGCUGCAAUGGCGGCCAUGCGCGCGGAGAUUGCUGAGCUUACGGGUAAGCUCGCCGAGGCACAAGCUGCACGCGUGAACGGUGUCAUCACGGUGCAAGGUCCACGGGUGGACACACCGAAGCCAAAGGAAUUCCGGGGCUCGCGGGUGGCCAAGGACGUGGACAACUUUCUGUGGUACAUGGAGCGAUACUUCCAGGCCAUGGGAAUCAACGACGACCAAACACGGGUAAACACUGCAUCUAUGUACUUAGCGGAUAGUGCUUUGUUGUGGUGGCGUCGUCGGUCGGAUGAUAGGUGCGGGAAUCCUAUCGCGACCUGGGUAGGCUUCAUCGAAGAGUUUCGACGGAACUACUUUCCCGCUUAUGCGGAGGAGGAAGCUCGUGACGAGCUGAAGUGUCUCGAGCAAAAAGGUGGUGUGCGCGACUACAUCAAGCGGUUCUCGGAGUUGCUACUCCAAAUCCCCUCGAUGAAUGAAGUUGAAGCGUUUCACCAGUUCAUGGGUGGUCUCAAACCAUGGACGAAGCAAGAAUUGAAGCGGUACAACGUGGGAGAUCUCAUUACGGCCAUGACCGUAGCCGAGUCGCUCGUGGAGUACAAGGCGUCGCCUUCCACAUCCCGACCGGACACCCGUCCAAGGGACAAAGGCACUGGUGGGGGAGAUCGGGGUAGAUUCAACAAUCGCCCGACUGGAGCUAGACCGCCGAAUGGUCCUCAUCCUCACCGGGCCAAUGCUGGACAAAAUGGAGGUGGGCAAAGGAAGGUACGUUCCUAUAGCUGCUUCUUCUGCGACGGCCCACACAUGGCGCGGGAUUGCCCGAACAAAGCCAAGUUGGCCGCUCUUUGUAAGGAAGACGAGCCUAGGGAGGAAGCACGGUUGGGAUCGUUGCGACUCCUUAGCACGAUCAAGGCCAAGAAGGCAAAGGAGCCUAAAGGCUUGAUGUUCGCGGACGUGAAGAUCAGAGUGACCACAAUGAGUGCGCUCGUGGACACGGGAGCAUCCGACAUCUUCAUCUCGGAAGAAGCCGCGAAGAAGCUUAACCUACGGGUUGAGAAGGGAGCCAGCUGGCUCAAGACCGUGAACUCAAAGGAAGUCCCUGCGAUCGGGGUUGCAAGGGACGUGGAGCUACAACUCGGCUCGUGGAGAGGCAAGGAGACUCUAGAGGUAAUUCCACUUGACGACUACGAUAUUGUCAUUGGAAUUAAAUUCCUAGAUAGGAUCCAAGCUGUUGUAGUUCCCUUUGCGGAAUGCAUAUGCGUGUUGGAAAAGAGUAGCCAAUGCAUGAUUCCGGUCCAUCGUGAGUCGGAGCGUGAUCGAAAGAUGAUCUCGGCUAUACAACUCACCAAAGGAGCAAGGAAGGGAGAGAUGACCUUCCUGGCGACCUUGAAGAUCGAGGACGAUAAGGGUGAAGGGAAAGAAGUCCCGACGGAAGCGACCCAAGUCCUCGACUCGUUCAAGGAUGUUAUGCCUUCGGAGCUGCCGAAGAAGCUGCCACCCAAGAGAGAGGUGGAUCACCGGAUCGAGCUUGUGCCUGACGCUCGACCGCCGGCCAUGGCGCCUUACCGUAUGGCGCCACCCGAGUUAGAAGAGUUGAGGAGGCAACUCAAGGAGCUGCUCGAUGCGGGCUAUAUACGGCCGUCAAAGGCCCCGUUCGGUGCGCCGGUCCUAUUCCAAAAGAAGCACGAUGGGUCACUCCGGAUGUGCAUCGACUACCGGGCGCUGAACAAGCUGACCGUGAAGAACAAGUAUCCGAUCCCGCUCAUUGCGGAUCUCUUUGAUCAACUUGGGAGCGCUAAAUGGUUCACCAAACUGGAUCUCCGAUCGGGUUACUACCAAGUUCGGAUCGCCGAGGGGGAUGAGCCAAAGACAGCCUACGUGACGCGGUACGGAUCCUAUGAAUUCCUGGUUAUGCCGUUCGGUCUAACCAACGCUCCGGCCACUUUCUGCACGAUGAUGAACAAGGUACUCCAUCCUUUCCUAGAUAGGUUUGUUGUGGUUUACCUGGACGACAUCGUCAUAUAUAGUCGGACGUUGGAAGAACAUGUCGAGCACAUAAGGCAGGUCUUCCGAACCUUGCGCGAGAACGAGCUGUUCGUCAAGCGCGAGAAGUGUGCCUUCGCCCAAGAAGAAGUUCCGUUCUUGGGGCACAUCGUCGGGGGUGGACGUGUGCGGAUGGACAAGGCGAAGAUUCAAUCGAUCGUCGAAUGGGAGCCGCCGACGAAGGUACCUGCGUUGAGGUCGUUCUUGGGCCUCACCAACUACUACCGACGGUUCAUCCGGAGCUACUCAAGCAUCACCGUGCCACUCACGGACCUGCUAAAGAAAGAGAGGGCGUGGGAGUGGACGGAUCGAUGCGAAAGAGCCUUCGACCGAUUGAAGACCGCCAUGACCGAGGAGCCGGUGUUGGCGUUGCCCGACCACACCAAACCUUACGAGGUAGAGACCGAUGCAUCAGAUUAUGCGAUCGGUGGUGUUCUUAUGCAGGAUGGACAUCCGGUGGCGUUCGAGUCUCGAAAGCUGAACGACACGGAGCGUCGGUACACCGUCCAAGAGAAGGAGAUGACGCGGUGGUGCACUGCCUUCGGACGUGGAGACAUUACAUCCUGGGAUCGAAGUUCGUCGUGAAGACGGACAACGUGGCCACGAGUUACUUUCAGACCCAAAAGAAGUUGAGUCCGAAGCAAGCUCGGUGGCAGGAUUUUCUGGCGGAAUUCGACUACGCGCUGGAGUACAAGCCGGGGAAGGCCAACUCUGUAGCAGACGCGUUGAGUCGAAAGACGGAGCUGAUGAGCCACACGGUAAGUCGACCAAGCUGCCCUUGGGUCGACCGCAUCAAAGAAGGGCUGGAGCAUGAUCCAAGAGCCCAAGCUCUCAUCGGGUACGCCAAGGAAGGUAAGACCCGACAAUUCUGGUGUGAGGACGAGCUCCUUUACACCAAGGGAAGGCGACUUUACGUGCCCUUCCAUGGGAAGCUGAGGAAGGAAAUCUUACGCGAGUGCCACGACUCGAAGUGGGCGGGUCAUCCUGGGAUCCACCGCACGUUGGCCCUCGUCGAAGAUCGGUACUAUUGGCCCCAAAUGCGCGACGACGUGGAGGCGUAUGUGAAGACUUGUCUGGUUUGCCAACAAGACAAGCUGGAGCAACGAUCGUCGCCAGGCUUACUGGAGCCGCUUCCCGUCCCAACUCGUCCAUGGGAAAGCAUUUCCAUGGACUUCAUCGUCAACCUACCAAAGUCCGAAGGGUGCCGGACUCUAAUGGUGGUGGUCGACCGGUUUUCGAAGUAUGCAACCUUUGUGCCUGCGACAAAGGAUUGCCCGGCCGAAGAAGCGGCCAAAUUGUUCAUGAAGCAUGUGGUGAAGUACUGGGGAGUGCCAAGAACGAUCGUGAGCGAUCGGGAUCCCCGCUUCACGGGACGCUUCUGGUCCGAAUUGUUCAAGCUGCUGGGGUCGGAGUUGAACAUGUCAACGAGUUUGCAUCCCCAAACCGACGGUCAGACGGAGCGGGUCAAUGCACUCUUGGAGAUCUACCUCCGGCACUACGUGAGCACGAUGCAAGUGGAUUGGGCGAAGUUGAUCGACGUAGCCCAGUUCUCCUACAACUUGCAGCGGAGCGAGUCGACCGGCCAGAGUCCGUUCGAGGUUGCAACUGGGCAACAACCGAACACCCCGAGCACCAUUGCUUCGGGUUACCGGGGGAGUAGUCCGCCCGCGUACAAGUUCGCCAAGAAUAUGCAAGAAGAGACGGACUUGGCCGGGCGUGUCUACACAAAGCCUCCAAGCGCAUGAAGAAAUGGGCGGACAAGAAGCGACGGCAUGUGGAGUUCCAAGUUGGAGACCAAGUGCUGGCCAAGCUGCACGUGGUUCUUCGAUAUAAGGACGUGCACAAAGGGUUGAUCCGUCGCUACGAGGGGCCAUUUCGAGUGCUACAACGGGUUGGAAGAGUUGCAUACAAGCUGGAACUACCGCCGAAGCUAAAAGUACAUCCGGUGUUCCACGUAAGUAUGCUCAAACCCUUCCAAAUUGAUGAGGAAGACCCGGAUCGAGGAGAGUCUCAUCGAGCACCGCUCGGGGCAAAGACCUCGUAUGAUCGGGAAGUUGAGUCCAUCUUGGCGGACCGAGUCAUACGAAAAAGGUAUUGUGCGCCCAAGCGCGAAUAUAUGAUCCGAUGGAAGGGUCUUCCGGAGAGCGAAGCCAGUUGGGAGCCCGAGGAGAGUCUUUGGCAGUUCAAGAAAGAGAUAGAAGAUUUCCAUGCCGAAGACGCGACGAGGGCGUCGCCUAAUUAGGUGGGGGAGAAUGUCACGGCCCGAAAGUUAGCAUGUCCAAGAGGUUUCCAUGGCACGGGCGUGACCCGUGAUGACCCUCGACCUAUGUCCCCGAGAUGUACAGUAUUCUCCUAGGGGCGGGUGAUACCGUAUUUGUACGCAUACAUUAUAAAUGCGAGUAGCUGGUAGUUGGCCAUAAAUGCAUAUAGCUGGUAGUUAGCUAUGAAUGCAAGUGGUUGGUAGAUGGGGAGGUGCAAUCUCCACCGUUAGAUCUAAGGGAGAUCUACGGGUAGGGUUUGCUGUAUACUUGUAUAUAAAGGGGUGUCCUCCCUCAUUGUAACUCAUUCACAACAUAUAUGAAA